This 361-nucleotide unclassified non-coding RNA is filed under the name uncultured Ktedonobacteria bacterium. RNAcentral describes it as "contains 16S-23S intergenic spacer region". Lineage: Bacteria; Bacillati; Chloroflexota; Ktedonobacteria. The record is from RNAcentral.
UCCGGUUUGUUUCCGGCGGUCUCCCUAGAUAUGCAACUAAGGACAAGGGUUGCGCUCGUUGCGGGACUUAACCCAACAUCUCACGACACGAGCUGACGACAGCCAUGCAGCAUCUGUGCACCUGUCCCGAAGGAGGCUGUUGUUUCCAACAGUUGCAGGCGCAUGUCAAGCCUUGGUAAGGUUCUUCGCGUCGCAUCGAAUUAAACCACACGCUCCGCUGCUUGUGCGGGUCCCCGUCAAUUCCUUUGAGUUUUAGUCUUGCGACCGUACUCCCCAGGCGGGCCACUUAAUGCGUUAGCUGCGGCACGGAAGGGGUCAACACCCCCCACACCUAGUGGCCAUCGUUUACUGCUAGGACUAC